GCAAGGGCGCGCGGGGUCGGCCAGGGGCGAGGCGGGAGCGAGGGUCCCCGGGAGCUCGUGGGGGCUCCCAUUUCCCAAUUGGGGUGCCCUGACUUUCCCCGUGCACACACCUCCUCCCCCCCUUCCUACCCCACCCAGAUCUGCGCACCGAGGAAGCUCGAAGGCCAAACUGUGUGCUCCUGAGAUUGAAGGCUGCUUCUUCAUCAGCUUACACAGCACUGAAGAGUUGAGGAUGCACUCCCAGUCUCUAGAUGCUGGUUUACCCUGCUGUGGUAAAUCCAGGGAAAUCUCAUCAUAUCCAGAAGUCUCCUUCUAUCCUGGGUUCUUGACCUUAGAGGAAACUCAAAGUUCCUAAACCUGUACUGCAGUGGGAGUGAAUAGAAUAACAGGGAAUGGACCCUUCCAAAGGAGUUUCAGGGGUUCACAUUCCACCUUUUACUCACGUAGCAUCUCCUGGCUUGAAAGCAUCUCCUGGCUCAUGCUCAACGGUUCCUUAACUCAGUGGUAUAAGGUAGGUAAUCCUGCGCCUAAUACCUGCAUCUGUUUUCUCUGAAUGAGGUUCCCAAUCUCCUUUUUUUUGUACUAGGAAUCGAACGUGGUUGCCAGGCAGGCGCUGCACCACUGAACUAUAUCACCAGCUCCCAGUCUCCUUUUAAUCCCCUCUUAUGGCCUUAAUGAUAAUUGCAAAAAGAGAAUACUUGAAAGCUUG
Molecule: long non-coding RNA, 709 nt
Filed under: Cavia porcellus (domestic guinea pig)
Lineage: Eukaryota; Metazoa; Chordata; Mammalia; Rodentia; Caviidae
Description: lncRNA (ENSCPOG00000039944.1)
Source: RNAcentral